This is a non-coding RNA of Leersia perrieri, 73 nucleotides long. NCBI's taxonomy places the organism in Eukaryota, Viridiplantae, Streptophyta, Magnoliopsida, Poales, Poaceae. The record is from Rfam.
AUACGUCUAGCUCGGUCGGUAGAGCGCAAGGCUCUUAACCUUGUGGUCGUGGGUUCGAGCCCCACGGUGGGCU